RNAcentral lists this ribosomal RNA (117 nucleotides) under Nonomuraea angiospora. Lineage: Bacteria; Bacillati; Actinomycetota; Actinomycetes; Streptosporangiales; Streptosporangiaceae. The record is from RNAcentral. RNAcentral also lists the same sequence under 19 other names.
UACGGCGGUUAUGGCGGGAAGGAAACACCCGGUUACAUUCCGAACCCGGAAGUUAAGCUUCUCUGCGCCGAUGGUACUGCACUCGGGAGGGUGUGGGAGAGUAGGUCGCCGCCGGAC